RNAcentral lists this unclassified non-coding RNA (178 nucleotides) under uncultured Sebacina. RNAcentral's name for it is "sequence contains ITS1". The record is from RNAcentral. Lineage: Eukaryota; Fungi; Basidiomycota; Agaricomycetes; Sebacinales; Sebacinaceae.
AUGAUUGCGGAUCGUUGCCUUUCGUGCUGGCUCUCGCGAGAGAGCAAGUGCACAUCGGUGACUUUCUCAUCCACUACUACCCUGUGCACCUUUGGCCUCUUGCUUGCUUCGGCCGGCAGAGGAAUUUACACACACUCGAAUGUAAUGAAAUAUAUUGUCGUGCGCAAGCACUAAUGUA